RNAcentral lists this ribosomal RNA (466 nucleotides) under uncultured bacterium. RNAcentral's name for it is "partial 16S ribosomal RNA". It matches the Rfam family "Bacterial small subunit ribosomal RNA", at positions 28 to 507 of the family's 1533-position model. The record is from RNAcentral.
GACGAACGCUGGCGGCGCGCCUAACACAUGCAAGUCGAACGAGCGAGAGGAGGUUUACUUUCUCAAGCGAGUGGCGAACGGGUGAGUAACGCGUGAGGAACCUGCCUCAAAGAGGGGGACAACAGUUGGAAACGACUGCUAAUACCGCAUAAGCCCACGACCCGGCAUCGGGUAGAGGGAAAAGGAGCAAUCCGCUUUGAGAUGGCCUGGCGUCCGAUUAGCUAGUUGGUGAGGUAAUGGCCCACCAAGGCGACGAUCGGUAGCCGGACUGAGAGGUUGAACGGCAGCAUUGGGACUGAGACACGGCCCAGACUCCUACGGAAGGCAGCAGUGGGGAAUAUUGCACAAGGGGGGAAACCCUGAUGCAGCGACGCCGCGUGGAGGAAGAAGGUCUUCGGAUUGUAAACUCCUGUUGUUGAGGAAGAUAAUGACGGUACUCAACAAGGAAGUGACGGCUAACUACGUG